Molecule: ribosomal RNA, 492 nt
Filed under: uncultured bacterium
Lineage: Bacteria
Description: partial 16S ribosomal RNA
Rfam family: Bacterial small subunit ribosomal RNA
Source: RNAcentral
AGUGAACGCUGGCGGUAGGCCUAACACAUGCAAGUCGAACGGCAGCACAGUAAGAGCUUGCUCUUACGGGUGGCGAGUGGCGGACGGGUGAGGAAUACAUCGGAAUCUACUUUUUCGUGGGGGAUAACGUAGGGAAACUUACGCUAAUACCGCAUACGACCUACGGGUGAAAGCAGGGGAUCUUCGGACCUUGCGCGAUUGAAUGAGCCGAUGUCGGAUUAGCUAGUUGGCGGGGUAAAGGCCCACCAAGGCGACGAUCCGUAGCUGAUCUGAGAGGCUGGUCAGCCACCCUAGAACUGAGACACGCUCCAGACUCCUACGGGAGGCAGCAGUGGGGAAUAUUGGACAAUAGGCGCAAGCAUGAUCCAGCCAUACCGCGUGGGUGAAGAAGGCCUUCGGGUUGUAAAGCCCUUUUGUUGGGAAAGAAAAGCAGCAGGUUAAUACCCCGCUGUUCUGACGGUACCCAAAGAAUAAGCACCGGCUAACUUCGUG